UUAGAGUUUGAUCCUGGCUCAGGAUGAACGCUAGCGGCAGGCCUAACACAUGCAAGUCGAGGGGUAAGGUCCAGCUUGCUGGACACACGACCGGCGCACGGGUGAGUAACGCGUAUGCAACCUACCUUUAACUGGAGGAUAGCCCCGAGAAAUCGGGAUUAAUACUUCAUAACAUUCUAACAGGGCAUCCUGUUUGGAUCAAAGCUUUGGCGGUUAAGGAUGGGCAUGCGUGACAUUAGCUAGAUGGUGAGGUAACGGCUCACCAUGGCGACGAUGUCUAGGGGUCCUGAGAGGGUUAUCCCCCACACUGGUACUGAGACACGGACCAGACUCCUACGGGAGGCAGCAGUGAGGAAUAUUGGUCAAUGGAGGCAACUCUGAACCAGCCAUGCCGCGUGAAGGAAGACUGCCCUAUGGGUUGUAAACUGCUUUUAUUUGGGAAGAAACUCCCGCACGUGUGCGGGACUGACGGUACCAUAAGAAUAAGCAUCGGCUAACUCCGUGCCAGCAGCCGCGGUAAUACGGAGGAUGCAAGCGUUAUCCGGAUUUAUUAGGUUUAAAGGGUGUGUAGGCGGGAGUCUAAGUCAGUGGUGAAAUCUUUCGGCUCAACCGAAAAACUGCCAUUGAAACUGGAUUUCUUGAGUAUAGUUGAGGUAGGCGGAAUGUGUAAUGUAGCGGUGAAAUGCUUAGAUAUUACACAGAACACCGAUUGCGAAGGCAGCUUACUAAGCUAUUACUGACGUUGAUGCACGAAAGCGUGGGUAGCGAACAGGAUUAGAUACCCUGGUAGUCCACGCCGUAAACGAUGAUUACUCGUUGUUGGCGAUAUAUUGUCAGCGACUGAGCGAAAGCAUUAAGUAAUUCACCUGGGGAGUACGACCGCAAGGUUGAAACUCAAAGGAAUUGACGGGGGCCCGCACAAGCGGAGGAACAUGUGGGUUAAUUCGAUGAUACGCGAGGAACCUUACCUGGGCUUAAAUGUAGAACGACCGCCGCCGAAAGGUGGUUUUCCUUCGGGACGGACUACAAGGUGCUGCAUGGUUGUCGUCAGCUCGUGUCGUGAGGUGUCGGGUUAAGUCCCAUAACGAGCGCAACCCCUAUCGUUAGUUGCCAGCGGAUAAUGCCGGGGACUCUAACGAAACUGCCAGUGUAAACUGUGAGGAAGGUGGGGAUGACGUCAAGUCAGCAUGGCCCUUAUGUCCAGGGCUACACACGUGUUACAAUGGCCAGUACAGAGGGCAGCUACCUGGUGACAGGAUGCAAAUCUCGAAAUCUGGUCUCAGUUCGGAUCGAAGUCUGCAACUCGACUUCGUGAAGGUGGAUUCGCUAGUAAUCGCGCAUCAGCCACGGCGCGGUGAAUACGUUCCCGGGCCUUGUACACACCGCCCGUCAAGCCAUGGAAGCUGGGGGUACCUGAAGUCUGUAACCGUAAGGAGCGGCCUAGGGUAAAACUAGUGACUGGGGCUAAGUCGUAACAAGGUAACC
Molecule: ribosomal RNA, 1485 nt
Filed under: uncultured prokaryote
Description: partial 16S ribosomal RNA
Rfam family: Bacterial small subunit ribosomal RNA
Source: RNAcentral